Molecule: ribosomal RNA, 279 nt
Filed under: uncultured Staphylococcus sp.
Lineage: Bacteria; Bacillati; Bacillota; Bacilli; Caryophanales; Staphylococcaceae
Description: partial 16S ribosomal RNA
Rfam family: Bacterial small subunit ribosomal RNA
Source: RNAcentral
CCUUUGACGUUAGCGGCGGACGGGUGAGUAACACGUGGGUAACCUACCUAUAAGACUGGGAUAACUUCGGGAAACCGGAGCUAAUACCGGAUAAUAUUUCGAACCGCAUGGUUCGAUAGUGAAAGAUGGUUUUGCUAUCACUUAUAGAUGGACCCGCGCCGUAUUAGCUAGUUGGUAAGGUAACGGCUUACCAAGGCGACGAUACGUAGCCGACCUGAGAGGGUGAUCGGCCACACUGGAACUGAGACACGGUCCAGACUCCUACGGGAGGCAGCAGAU